UAAUGCUUAUGUGUUUGAGAUGUGAGAGUGAAUGUGUUUGAGAUAUGAGAAUGAAUUGUGAAUGAAUGAGAGUGAAUGCUCAUGUGUUUGAGAUGUGAGAAUGAAUUGUGCUUGCAGAAAGCCAGUAAACAGAUAGUUCAAUGAGAUAAGAGCUGUCUUAGGAGAUUGUACCUUUUUCUGAAAGAGCUGUGGUAAGGCUGACAGGUCAAGAUUGACUGACUGGCUGGGCCUUCACCAGGUGUGAGAAGUCUUAGUACCAUUGUUGGUCCCAGGACUUCUGUUCCAGUAAGCUCAUUAAAAUGUUUUAUUUUUCCAACACCAUCACCAAUUUGAGUUUCAUUAUCUGGAAUAUCUUCUAAGUUUUUUGCUCUGAUGCUGGCAUCCUGGGCAAAGUCCAGAUAGCUCAGGCUUGUAGUGCCGCCAGUACAUACAGGAGUGAGAAGCCCAACAGUUUCAAUUCCGUGAUCUUUGUUUUUAAAUGGUAAAUUGUAAUGCCACAUGAAUGUAGCGUUUUAUCCUGAAUUUUAGCUAAGUAAAACUUCAGAGAAUUAAGGGAAUGAUUUUUUUCUCCUUUUUAUUUGACAGGGUCUGGCUCUGUCACCCAGGCUGGAGUACAGUGGCAUGAUCUUGGCUCACUGCAGCCUCCACCUCCCAGGCUCAAGCCAUCCUCCCAUGUCAACCUUCUGAGUAGCUGAAACCACAGGCAUGUUUCACCAUGGCCAGCUAAUUUUUGUAUUUUUUAGUAGAAAUGGGGUUUCGCCAUGUUGCCCAGGCCUGUCUCGAACUCCUGAAGCACAAGUGAUCCACCUGCCUAGGUGACCCAAAGUAAUGGGAUUACAGGCAAUGGACCUCAUCAUGACCGUUGCUGUACUUACAAUGAAAACAACUUGGUGGAUGGUGUGUAUUGUCUCCCAAUAGGACACUGGAUUGAGGCCACUGGGCACACCAAUGAAAUGAAGCACACAACAGACUUCUAUUUUAAUAUUGCAGGCCACCAAGCCAUGCAUUAUUCAAGAAUUCUACCAAAUAUCUGGCUGGGUAGCUGCCCUCGUCAGGUGGAACAUGUAACCAUCAAACUGAAGCAUGAAUUGGGGAUUACAGCUGUAAUGAAUUUCCAGACUGAAUGGGAUAUUGUACAGAAUUCCUCAGGCUGUAACCGCUACCCAGAGCCCAUGACUCCAGACACUAUGAUUAAACUAUAUAGGGAAGAAGGCUUGGCCUACAUCUGGAUGCCAACACCAGAUAUGAGCACCGAAGGCCGAGUACAGAUGCUGCCCCAGGCGGUGUGCCUGCUGCAUGCGCUGCUGGAGAAGGGACACAUCGUGUAUGUGCACUGCAACGCUGGGGUGGGCCGCUCCACCGCGGCUGUCUGCGGCUGGCUCCAGUAUGUGAUGGGCUGGAAUCUGAGGAAGGUGCAGUAUUUCCUCAUGGCCAAGAGGCCGGCUGUCUACAUUGACGAAGAGGCCUUGGCCCGGGCACAAGAAGAUUUCUUCCAGAAAUUUGGGAAGGUUCGUUCUUCUGUGUGUAGCCUGUAGCUGGUCAGCCUGCUUCUGCCCCCUCCUGAUUUCCCUAAGGAGCCUGGGAUGAUGUUGGUCAAAUGACCUAGAAACAAGGAUUCUACCUGAACUGAAAGGACUGUGUGACCUCCCCCAAGCCAACCACUUUCACCUGGGAUGACUUUCGAUUAUGCUUUGUUUUGGGGCUGUAUUUUUGAAAUACUCUACAAGAAAGCUGUGACUCAACACAUGAGAAGAAGCAUGAAGCAGUUAGGCUGUACAUCAGACAGAAGGGUAAUGCGUGCAGUUCCUGCUGCCUGCAGGCGGACGAGGCCUUUGCUUUACAGCACUGUGUGUGUUGCACGAUGGAUCUGUGACAGCACUUUCCUGUUGCACUGAAACUCUUGGCCAUGCAGAGGAAAAGAUAUGGAGUUAUGUGGAUUUCAUCACUAGUAUGUGUGCGUGAGCUGGUCAGUUGCCAAAGGAGGAAAUAAGGUUAGAAGCCUGAACCGUUACAAAAGAAGAGCUCACUGUGGUCAAAAAGUGAUGGCUUUCAGGACUUGUUUUUUAUCCUGCCUCACAGUUGUUAAAGUCUGUUCCAAGGCAUCACCUUCCUUCUCUACCCAACAACCCUGUGUAACAACUAAAGUAGAAUUAUCUCUCAUUUGUUGUUGUUUUUCCUCAAAAUUGCCAAACAAAGCAAAAAAUACCCUUGUUUUUUAUAGUUGAGAUGUCAAGAAGUUAAAUUGAGGCUUAAUGAGCAUAGGUAGCUUGUCCAAGGUCUCAUGACCAAUCAAGGGCAAGCUGGAGUUAAUAAUCUAUAUUUAUUUGACUCAGCGCUGUUUUCAUCACAACUUGUUUUCCCAGCAUCAUGUAGUGCAUUCAGUUUUGUCUUUCUCAGGGUAUGGUCAAUAUGCCUGCAGGAGUUUCUAUAGCGAGACAUAGAAUAGUAUUCUGAUCAGUUGCCAAAGAAUCUAGGAAAUUAGUUGUAUUUUGUGCAAGCUAAUUUAAAAACAUGAUGGACUGUUUUAAGACCAGAGUGGAAAUUCAUGAGAGGAACUAUACUACCAAAAGAGCCCAAAUGACCAAAUCCAUGGAUAAUUGCUUCACAGCCUUGGCCAUCCUGGCUCAGCCCUCAAUUUAGUAUAAUAUGCAGUUCCUGUGCCUCCAGACUAUGCAGCUCAUCACCCUAGGUUCUGCAGGAAAUACAGAGAUGAACAACUUUGCCUUCAAAAAUGUGCUGCCUAGAAACAGACCUGCAUUCAACCAACUGUGAUGCAGGAUUGGACUAUGAAUGAUAUGCUAGAAUAGAAGAAAGAGAAGUGUGUUUUUAAUUGAGAGCCUCUAUGUGCAAGGUGAUAUAUAAUCAUAUCCAGUUUAAUCUUCACAAUAUCCAAUGAAGAAGGUCUCAUUAUCUCCAUGAUAAAGAUGGGGAAACUAGGGUCAGAAGGGUUAACUCAACUGUCUAUUGUCGCAUGAUGAAUAAAUAGAUGAAGUGAGAUACAAAGCUAGGUUUGAUUCAAAGCCCUUACUUUCCUAAUUAAACUAUGAUGCGUAUUUAUUUUUCUGCACCUUCCUUUCUUCCACAACCCAUAUUGAUAGAUGCAAGAGACUCUUAUUUAGAAGGCGUGGGGGACAAGAAGGAUACAAGGUAAGUUUCAGUGGAGCUCAGAGGACGGGGAGAUAUAACUGUGGCACUUAGGGGAGAUGACAUUUGCUUUGGGCAGAGGCAGCUAGCCAGGACACAUUUCCACUAUAAUUUUACAAAGUUAAAUUUAUAAGCUAGCAUUAAGUAAAGUGAAGUCCAGCUCCCUUGCUAAAAAUAACUAGAGGUAAUAAUUGGUAUUCAGGUAACUCAUUUACAGUCAUAAUGUGUUGUGAAAAUUUAAUCUUAAAAAUUAAAUUUUUAAACUAUGUGGGUCUGUGAAUUUCUUUAAUGUCUAAGAAAUCCAGCUUCAUAAUUUCCAUGAUACAAAGAUCUUUUUUCAGGUGGAUUUUUACCUUUGUUCCUUUUGCUCUGAUAGACAAAAUCAGUUUAGGACUAUGAAAGAAUGUUUUGGAAUAAACUGUCUUUUUCCUCAAUGAAUGGGAUAUCUAAUGUAUUUCAAAAUCACCCAAAACUUUUGGCAAAUAAAAGCAUUUAAAAAGAC
Molecule: small RNA, 3646 nt
Filed under: Pan troglodytes (chimpanzee)
Lineage: Eukaryota; Metazoa; Chordata; Mammalia; Primates; Hominidae
Description: retained intron
Source: RNAcentral